This 215-nucleotide unclassified non-coding RNA is filed under the name uncultured fungus. Its description in RNAcentral is "partial contains 5.8S ribosomal RNA, internal transcribed spacer 2, and large subunit ribosomal RNA". The stretch from base 1 to 52 matches the Rfam family "5.8S ribosomal RNA", at positions 103 to 154 of the family's 154-position model. The record is from RNAcentral. Lineage: Eukaryota; Fungi.
AACGCACAUUGCGCCUUUUGGUAUUCCGAAAGGCAUGCCUGUUUGAGUGUCAUAAGACCUCUCAUACCUAGUUUUCUAUGUAUGAGCUUUGGACGUCUGCCAUCUUGUGGCUCGUCUUAAAUGUCUAAGUGGAAUGCGUAAUAAGUUUUCGCUCCCUCCACUCUAAUAACUUUUAGUUAGACCUCAAAUCAGGUAGGGCUACCCGCUGAACUUAA